AUCACAUAAAUCAGAAACAAAUGAAACAUAAUAAAGUCCACACAUUAAAAAAAAAAAAAAAAAGCAUGGGUUCUGGUCACAUCCCAGCUUCCCACUUACUUACAGCUGUGUAAUUCUGGGCAACUCACAUACUGUCUCCUCAGACUCCUCAUCUAUAAAUGGGGAUGGUAAUAGUUCCCUACCUCAUAGUGUUGCUAUAAUCCAUAAACAAAGUUAAGUGCCUUGGUAAAUGUUUGAUGCUCUCUGGUUAUUGUGAAUUAAAAUAUGUCAAUGGCUUCUGGCAAUAUGAUUUAUAAUAGUUUGACAUUUAACCAAAUGGUAAAACUAUUCCAUUUAUUAUUUCCAUCUCUUUUUACCCCUUACCCUGUUUUGUUGUUUAUGUUUUCUCUCACCACAGAGUGUUAGUUCCAGGAGAGUAAAGGCUUUACAUUGUUCACUGCUGAAAGCAAUAGCACCCAGAAAAGUACAGUACAUAUGAAACCCUCAGUAAACACUAGCUGAAUGAAUGGUGCAAAGUGCCACAAGGAAAAAUACACCAAAACUUUCAUUAUAAUAAAAAAGUAUAGAUAAAUCUUUCUCUAAUGGCUUCCAGUCAAGUAUUUUAAAACACCAUAUGCUAUAAUAAAAACAUAAGUAAUUUAUUAAAAUUUGAAGGCAAAAGCAUAAUUUUAAAAGAUUUUAAAAGAUUUAGACCUAUGUUAGGCAUGAUGGAGUAUGGAUGCUUUCUUGAAAUUCACAGUCAGAUCCAAGAGUAUCACUUUCAGAAUGUUCUAGUAGACUGAGUUUACUUUUAGUUGUCUUUGAUGAAACAGUCACUAUUCUACUCUCUUUCUUAACAGAAAUGUGUUUUUUCUAAGACUCACUUCUAAUUGGUUCAUUAAGCAAAGACUUAUUUUGCCCAAUUCCUUUGCUUUUCUGCUUUACAGUUCCAGAAAUGACGUCUGCUGAAGGAGAACAUGUUCUAGCAAUGAAAUCUUCAAAAGACUCCUGCCGCUGCUCUGUGACUGGGACCCCCAGGUUGUCUUUGGAAGUUUCUAAGGCCUCCUGAGUAGAGACUGGGACAUGGAAGGAGUCAAGAGGCAAAGGAAUCCCAGCAUCACCUGUAAUUUUCUGAAACUGGAGGGAAAGACAAAAGACAAGGCAAAAAUUCAGUGAUGAACAAAGACAACCAUUAAAAAGUAGAGUUCAAAACUUCAA
This is a long non-coding RNA of Aethalodelphis obliquidens (Pacific white-sided dolphin), 1197 nucleotides long. RefSeq lists it as uncharacterized. The record is from RefSeq and is a predicted model, not a curated record. Lineage: Eukaryota; Metazoa; Chordata; Mammalia; Artiodactyla; Delphinidae. The transcript has 2 exons.